AACGCACGAGACCUGCGGACCUGCGGAAGGAUCAUUACAUGGCGGAGGAGGUGGGCACCUAGUAAAAACAAAACCCUAGGUGUGUUGCCUACCACGCUUUCUACCCUUGUCUAUUUGCACCUUUUGUCGUUCCCUCGGUGGGUCUUGAACCUGCCGGCGGCAACUUUCAAAAACCUUUUGUAGUUAGUAUCUAAUUCUUCUGAUCAAAUAUUCAAUCGUUACAACUUUUAGCAACGGAUC
Molecule: unclassified non-coding RNA, 240 nt
Filed under: soil metagenome
Description: partial contains 5.8S ribosomal RNA, internal transcribed spacer 2, and large subunit ribosomal RNA
Source: RNAcentral